This 241-nucleotide long non-coding RNA is filed under the name Ananas comosus (pineapple). Its description in RNAcentral is "long non-coding RNA (ACOM_LNC039134)". The record is from RNAcentral. Lineage: Eukaryota; Viridiplantae; Streptophyta; Magnoliopsida; Poales; Bromeliaceae.
CUACCGACUUCUAGCCGACGUUGGACGAGCGGUCGAGGUGGGUUGAUAUUUACCGAUAUCGUCGGAUUUCCUCCUAAGUUGGCGUUUUUGUUAGUAUGUAUGUUUUAUGUGUAGUAUCAUGUCUAGUAACUCGAAUUAAUCGAUUUGCAUGUUUUUUUAUGAAAUCUGAAUUUGGAGUAUAGUUUAGUGAUUUUAGAUGGAAUUAUACAUGUUGAACUGGAAAUUAAGUUAGGAGAAAACA